AACGCGAAGAACCUUACCUAGGCUUGACAUGCUGGUGGUAGGCGCCGGAAACGGUGGCCGACCCUUCGGGGAGCCAGCACAGGUGCUGCAUGGCUGUCGUUAGCUCGUGUCGUGAGAUGUUGGGUUAAGUCCCGCAACGAACGCAACCCCCGCCCUGUGUUGCCAGCAUUAAGUUGGGGACUCACAGGGGACUGCCGGUGACAAACCGGAGGAAGGUGGGGAUGACGUCAAGUCAUCAUGGCCCUUAUGCCCAGGGCUAGAAACGUGCUACAAUGGCCGGUACAAUGGGCUGCGAUGCCGCGAGGCGGAGCGAAUCCCAUCAAAGCCGGUCUAAGUUCGGAUUGGAGUCUGCAACUCGACUCCAUGAAGGCGGAGUGCUAGUAAUCGCGAUCAGCAUGC
RNAcentral lists this ribosomal RNA (399 nucleotides) under uncultured Rubrobacter sp. RNAcentral's name for it is "bacterial SSU rRNA". It matches the Rfam family "Bacterial small subunit ribosomal RNA", at positions 958 to 1357 of the family's 1533-position model. The record is from RNAcentral. Lineage: Bacteria; Bacillati; Actinomycetota; Rubrobacteria; Rubrobacterales; Rubrobacteraceae.